UAGAAUGUGGUGUAGUGGGGGCACAGGGAGUCUUGAUCUCCUUGGGAGAGGUUCAAAUCCUUUCUUUCUAA
This 71-nucleotide transfer RNA is filed under the name Apistogramma cacatuoides. RNAcentral describes it as "tRNA-Gln". It matches the Rfam family "tRNA". Rfam says of the family: Transfer RNA (tRNA) molecules are approximately 80 nucleotides in length. Their secondary structure includes four short double-helical elements and three loops (D, anti-codon, and T loops). Lineage: Eukaryota; Metazoa; Chordata; Actinopteri; Cichliformes; Cichlidae. The record is from RNAcentral.